Molecule: long non-coding RNA, 2321 nt
Organism: Papaver somniferum (opium poppy)
Lineage: Eukaryota; Viridiplantae; Streptophyta; Magnoliopsida; Ranunculales; Papaveraceae
Exons: 5
Source: RefSeq, a predicted model, not a curated record
UCUUUUCUUUUUCUAAAUCUUUGGAUAAGUGAAAGAUUAAAUUUGAGCAUUAUAUAUUUAAGGGUCUAUUUUUUCUAUUGUUGGUUUCUUCUAUUAUUUGAUGAAACACAGCGGGUCUAUUCUAUUGAGCUUGAAGGUAAUUUGUCCGUCACAAAGUUUGUCCCAGGAAAUUUUUCUGAAUUCUCAAUUUCACAAAAUUAAGAAUAAUUUUGAGAUAAUCAAACAAAUUGUUCACCAAUUUCGAUUGAAUACACUCAAACGAAUAAAUUGGUAGUUCAGAGUUCUUCAAAAUUUCUAUUACAUCGAUCAGAAUCCAUUGAUUUCUUCAUCAUAUCUUUAGAAAAAAGCAGAGAAAUUUCAUAUGGUAAUGUUCUUCACAUCUCUAUACUUCCAUCUUUCUCCACUUAUAUCAAAUUUCGAAUAUCAGGCUAACCCAAAAAGCACAGCUCUUGCUUUCAUCUCCCUCUACUCAUUCUCCGUGAUAUCAGAAUUAUCAUUUUUCAGAUUUUCUCCAUUAUUACUUCGAUCGUCACUGCCAAAGGAUAAGUAAACAGUAUUGCUCUAUUGUUGUUCGAUAAAAUGUCUCAAUGAACUAAUUGUCAUGUGCCUAAAAUUUGAUUUUCGGUUUGCGUUUUAAAGAGGUUUUGAUCAAUUAGUUACGUUUAUUUAAGGUUGAUAAAUCUCCUCGAGUCAUUUUUUUCAUGCUCACUGAUUCGCUGCUAUGGAUCAGACACUUUUAAGGAGAUUAUUACAAUUCUUAUACCCAUUGCAUUGAUGCUGAUGCUUGUUGGGAAUGGUGAAGAUACAUUAUUGGCCGAUUGUGAAGUUAAUCUGAAGAACCUCAAUUUGCUGGGAAUGGAGUUGAUGUUUUAGUUCACGACUCUACUACUGCUAAACAACUUCUGGUAUUCGUAUUAAUCUUUAAAUUUGUUAUUUCAUUUGUAGAGUUACAAGGAACCAUCAUAUGUUUUUUGCAUCAGGUAAUGUAUUCUGACUUUACAGUUGAUACAGUUGAAUAAAAAAGUGGUAUUUUCUGUUAUGUACUACUAAACUAUGCAUCAUAUUAAACUUCGUUUUAGUUACCCAAUCUGGAAGUAACUUUUGUUGUUUUCAAUUGUCGAUGGGCGAUUCAUUGGCCUUGUAGUUUACUAACUAUUUUCUUGUGAUGAAAACUGAAGGGCUAAAUUUACAUUUUGUUUGCAGUCUGAAGUCACUGCUCUAAAGAUCUACACCCAAGGCAGGAGCAAUUGGUGUUGUAGAAAAUAGUUGUUCAGUCCCUGAAGCUGCUGCUUCAAGGGUGGAAGCUUUUUCAAGACUCUUAACUUCUUCCAAUUUUUAUUAGACUUCAAAGGUUCCCUCCGAUUACAACCAAUUUUGUUUCUGUUCUUGUUUGUUUCUGCUUUACAAAUCAGAUUCAUGACAUUACAUUCACAGAUUCAAGACAUUUCAGGGUCUUUCCGUUGGGAUCCAUUUUUUGCGCUGCAGAAAUCUGACACCUUCUUAACCAUGCUUUUGCUGCUGUCAUGCCGUUGGUUGAUCUAGCGGAAGGAAAUCUUGAUAACAUUAUCGCACAUCUUCUGUGGUUCGUAUGCUAUCGGAACGUGUUGGACUUCUUUGGUUUGAGACCUCAGAUAAAAAAGUUACCUGUACAAGUUAGCAGCAGCAAAGGACAUUAUGAAAAUCAUAAAGAGGACACACUCGUUGAGGCAAGCUGGAUAAAAUUCUUGUGAAAAUGGGUAAUGGAACAUGUUGCUGGAGUUCUUGCAGGCUUGUUAAAAGCUGGGGAUGAGUAACUGGUCAGUGAAUUCCGUAGUAAAGCAUUUUUGGAAGCCUUCACUAUUUCAAAGAAGGAAAGGAAGAGAAUCUCAAGUUCAAAACAGUGACAUGAAAAAUCCCCCUUUACCAGCGUUAAGCGGUGCUAACUACCAUGCAUCACCAGCAGACCUACGUAUAACCAGCGAAGACCUUCGUUAGCAUCUGCAGAUGUAGACCCCUCUGCUGCACCACAUCCUAAAUAGUAUAUGGAGCCGUUAGUGAUUCGCAUUGCUGGGCUGUAAAAGAAUGCAAGGAAAGGAUAUAGUCGUGUGGUUAGGUAUAUGCACCGAUGGACCAGUUCACUAUUAACACAAUUGUAAUUAAGUUAAUUGUCAUGGAGUGAUGGUCUAAACCGCGUUGUGAUGGUACGAUAUUGUAAAUUAUAGUGCAAAUGCAAUUUUCGUUUCCGUUGGUUUUGAGCAACUCGUAUACUUGUAGCUUAUACACUUUUUUGACUUGUACACACUUUCAAUGAAUACAAUGGUUUUUGUGAUACUUUCAUGUGA